AGGUUAUGAUGUGGAAAUUUACUCAAUAAAUUCUUAAAUCUUUCCCACCCCUCAAAUAAUGACUCAGUGUCCAAUUGUACAUAUCCUGUAAUCUCUUGACGCAACUU
This is a small nucleolar RNA of Dioscorea cayenensis subsp. rotundata (Guinea yam), 107 nucleotides long. Lineage: Eukaryota; Viridiplantae; Streptophyta; Magnoliopsida; Dioscoreales; Dioscoreaceae. The record is from RefSeq and is a predicted model, not a curated record.